CGCGUAGGUGGUUGUGUAAGUCAGAUGUGAAAUCCUUCGGCUCAACUGAAGAACUGCAUCUGAUACUGCACGACUCGAGUACAGGAGAGGGAAACGGAAUUCCAGGUGUAGAGGUGAAAUUCGUAGAUAUCUGGAGGAACACCGGUGGCGAAGGCGGUUUCCUGGCCUGAUACUGACACUGAGGCGCGAAAGCGUGGGGAGCAAACAGGAUUAGAUACCCUGGUAGUCCACGCCGUAAAACGGUGAGUACUGGGUGUGGGAGGUGUAAUGCCUUCUGUGCCGAAGCUAACGCGUUAAGUACUCCGCCUGGGGAGUACGGCCGCAAGGUUGAA
This 332-nucleotide ribosomal RNA is filed under the name uncultured bacterium. Its description in RNAcentral is "bacterial SSU rRNA". It matches the Rfam family "Bacterial small subunit ribosomal RNA", at positions 568 to 898 of the family's 1533-position model. The record is from RNAcentral.